CCUACGGGAGGCAGCAGUAAGGAAUAUUGGUCAAUGGGCGGAAGCCUGAACCAGCCAUGCCGCGUGCAGGAAGACGGCCCUAUGGGUUGUAAACUGCUUUUGUACCGGAAUAAACCCCCGAACGUGUUCGGGGCUGAAUGUACGGUAAGAAUAAGGAUCGGCUAACUCCGUGCCAGCAGCCGCGGUAAUACGGAGGAUCCGAGCGUUAUCCGGAUUUAUUGGGUUUAAAGGGUGCGUAGGCGGCCUGUUAAGUCAGGGGUGAAAGACGGUAGCUCAACUAUCGCAGUGCCUUUGAUACUGACGGGCUUGAAUGUACUUGAGGUAGGCGGAAUGUGACAAGUAGCGGUGAAAUGCAUAGAUAUGUCACAGAACACCAAUUGCGAAGGCAGCUUACUAAGGUAUGAUUGACGCUGAGGCACGAAAGCGUGGGGAUCAAACAGGAUUAGAUACCCUGGUAGUCCACGCCCUAAACGAUGAAUACUCGAUGUUGGUCGAUAUACGCCGACGCGUCUAAGACGAAGACGUAAGUAGUUCCUACCGUGGGUAGGUACGCCGCCGAGGUAAGGUAAACGUUAAAGUUAGUUAAGUUAGUUACGGUUCGUGAGACGUUGCCGACGGACGACGACGAGGGAGGAGG
This 637-nucleotide ribosomal RNA is filed under the name uncultured bacterium. RNAcentral describes it as "bacterial SSU rRNA". The stretch from base 1 to 539 matches the Rfam family "Bacterial small subunit ribosomal RNA", at positions 338 to 873 of the family's 1533-position model. The record is from RNAcentral.